GAUUUAGUUCCAUCCGUCAAGAUGAAAUUAUACAAAUCUAAGCAAACUGAUAUUAAAUUAUAUUUUAAUAAAAUUUCGGUUUUUAUAGUCGCUUAAAUUGUUUACUCAAAAUUUAAUUUUAUUCAAAUUUAAGGAUGGCUGGAUUCCAUACUUUGGUUUCCAUUUUCAUAUAUCUAAGCUUUGUAUUACUCUUUUUAGUUCCCAGUAAGUUUUAUUGAUGCACAAAUAUAAACGGCGAAGCUUGGUGUUUCAACUGCGAAAUUUUAGCAGAGUGUGAAGUACACACAAAUUUUAAAAAGUUCGCCAAGAAGGUUGAUAAGGACAAGGUAGUUGAAAAGACAGGAAAUGAUCCUGCUAACCCCAACAUGGAUAGAUGCCUGAAAGCGGGUCACACAAUAUCUGGCACUAUUUCGGAUACCAUAUGCUCUGCUGGCGAGGAUAGCAUGUGCCACACGAUAGCGGAGCACACAGAAGAUCCGCUGAAAAUCGGUAUGCACUGUGCAUCGUGCAUGAUCUUGUGCGGCUGUCCACGUAGAAGCCACUUACGCAAAGACCGCCGCAACGAAGAAAGUGCACUAAAAGAAGACGCUAUAGUCAUAACUAUAUGUCUAGCAGCAUUUUACAUGCUGAUGUGAGACAAUCCUAGACAACAAUUUGAAGGCUAUUGACAUUUUCCAAUUCGGUUCUACAGAGGAUUAAGGCAAUUUAGCCCUGUCUAUACGUGCCUCUAAAAUAAAAUGUUUUUAUUGGUUUUUUUUUUUUUAAUUUUCUAAACGGUUUACAUUGAUUUUAUUUUAUAUUUAAAGCGAAAAAAUUAACUAAAGCUUGUCGCAUAAAAAAAGAAAGGAAAAUAAAAUCAGUAUGACAAGGAGGAAAACUCUAGAUGCGGCAGACGACUAGAAGAUCUCCUAAGUACGCUCUCCAAAGUUUGGAUUAAGCAUAAAAUAAAACAAACCCAAAUUCAAUCACCGUCACAAUCAAACAAUCAAUAAUAACUAAAUAGUUAAGUAGAAGAAAUAAAAAAAAUGUGAAUAAUCAUA
This is an RNA transcript of Drosophila mojavensis, 1040 nucleotides long. RefSeq lists it as uncharacterized. Lineage: Eukaryota; Metazoa; Arthropoda; Insecta; Diptera; Drosophilidae. The transcript has 3 exons. The record is from RefSeq and is a predicted model, not a curated record.